This 419-nucleotide ribosomal RNA is filed under the name uncultured fungus. RNAcentral's name for it is "eukaryotic LSU rRNA". It matches the Rfam family "Eukaryotic large subunit ribosomal RNA", at positions 1 to 422 of the family's 3401-position model. The record is from RNAcentral. Lineage: Eukaryota; Fungi.
GACCUCGGAUCAGGUAGGGAUACCCGCUGAACUUAAGCAUAUCAAUAAGCGGAGGAAAAGAAACCAACAGGGAUUGCCUCAGUAACGGCGAGUGAAGCGGCAACAGCUCAAAUUUGAAAUCUGGCCUUCGGGUCCGAGUUGUAAUUUGCAGAGGAUGCUUCGAGCAUGGUCUAGUCUAAGUUCCUUGGAAUAGGACGUCAUAGAGGGUGAGAAUCCCGUAUGCGACUGGGUGCCUAAGCUCAUGUGAAGCUCCUUCGACGAGUCGAGUUGUUUGGGAAUGCAGCUCAAAAUGGGUGUAAAUUUCAUCUAAAGCUAAAUAUUGGCCAGAGACCGAUAGCGCACAAGUAGAGUGAUCGAAAGAUGAAAAGCACUUUGGAAAGAGAGUUAAAUAGCACGUGAAAUUGUUGAAAGGGAAGCGC